This 1498-nucleotide ribosomal RNA is filed under the name Calvertius tuberosus. RNAcentral describes it as "SSU rRNA". It matches the Rfam family "Eukaryotic small subunit ribosomal RNA", at positions 234 to 1661 of the family's 1831-position model. The record is from RNAcentral. Lineage: Eukaryota; Metazoa; Arthropoda; Insecta; Coleoptera; Curculionidae.
UUGUACAACUUGGNGANUNGGAAUAACUUUACGCUGAUCGCACGGUCAUCGCACCGGNGANGCAUCUUUCAAAUGUCUGCCUUAUCAACUGUCGAUGGUAGGUUCUGCGCCUACCAUGGUUGUAACGGGUAACGGGGAAUCAGGGUUCGAUUCCGGAGAGGGAGCCUGAGAAACGGCUACCACAUCCAAGGAAGGCAGCAGGCGCGCAAAUUACCCACUCCCGGCACGGGGAGGUAGUGACGAAAAAUAACGAUACGGGACUCAUCCGAGGCCCCGUAAUCGGAAUGAGUACACUCUAAACCCUUUAACGAGGAUCAAUUGGAGGGCAAGUCUGGUGCCAGCAGCCGCGGUAAUUCCAGCUCCAAUAGCGUAUAUUAAAGUUGUUGCGGUUAAAAAGCUCGUAGUCGAAUUUGUGUCUCGCGCCGCCGGUUCAUCGUCCGCGGUGUUAACUGGCGAGUCGCGAGACGUCCUGCCGGUGGGCUUAGCUCGCGAGGGCGGCCCAACUCAAUCCUGCCGCGGUGCUCUUCAUUGAGUGUCGAGGUGGGCCGGCACGUUUACUUUGAACAAAUUAGAGUGCUUAAAGCAGGCUAAAACUUCGCCUGAAUACUGUGUGCAUGGAAUAAUGGAAUAGGACCUCGGUUCUAUUUUGUUGGUUUUCGGAACCCCGAGGUAAUGAUUAAUAGGAACGGAUGGGGGCAUUCGUAUUGCGACGUUAGAGGUGAAAUUCUUGGAUCGUCGCAAGACGGANNNNNNNNNNNGCUUUGCCAAAAACGCUUUCAUUGAUCAANAACNAAAGUUAUAGGUUCGAANGCGAUCACAUACCGCCCUAGUUCUAACCAUAAACGAUGCCAGCUAGCGAUCCGUCGACGUUCCUCCGAUGACUCGACGGGCAGCUUCCGGGAAACCAAAGCUUUUGGGUUCCGGGGGAAGUAUGGUUGCAAAGCUGAAACUUAAAGGAAUUGACGGAAGGGCACCACCAGGAGUGGAGCCUGCGGCUUAAUUUGACUCAACACGGGAAACCUCACCAGGCCCGGACACCGGAAGGAUUGACAGAUUGAGAGCUCCUUCUUGAUUCGGUGGGUGGUGGUGCAUGGCCGUUCUUAGUUGGUGGAGCGAUUUGUCUGGUUAAUUCCGAUAACGAACGAGACUCUGGCCUGCUAACUAGGCGUAUUUUGACAUCCUAAAGGCCCGCCGGCUUGGGGUUCGCUCCUUGUCGUGCGCGGUUUUUACUGUCGGCGUACAAACAAUUCUUCUUAGAGGGACAGGCGGCUUCUAGCCGCACGAGAUUGAGCAAUAACAGGUCUGUGAUGCCCUUAGAUGUUCUGGGCCGCACGCGCGCUACACUGAAGGAAUCAGCGUGUCCUCCCUGGCCGAGUGGCCCGGGUAACCCGCUGAACCUCCUUCGUGCUAGGGAUUGGGGCUUGCAAUUGUUCCCCAUGAACGAGGAAUUCCCAGUAAGCGCGAGUCAUAAGCUCGCGUUGAUUAGUUCCUGCCCUUU